Molecule: ribosomal RNA, 253 nt
Filed under: uncultured bacterium
Lineage: Bacteria
Description: partial 16S ribosomal RNA
Rfam family: Bacterial small subunit ribosomal RNA
Source: RNAcentral
UACGUAGGGGGCGAGCGUUGUCCGGAUUUAUUGGGCGUAAAGGGCGCGUAGGCGGUCGGGUAAGUCGGAUGUGAAAUCCCAGGGCUCAACCCUGGAACUGCAUUCGAUACUGCAUGGCUAGGGUACUGGAGAGGAGACUGGAAUUUACGGUGUAGCAGUGAAAUGCGUAGAUAUCGUAAGGAAGACCAGUGGCGAAGGCGAGUCUCUGGACAGUUACCGACGCUGAGGCACGAAGGUCAGGGGAGCAAACGGG